Molecule: non-coding RNA, 3778 nt
Organism: Salmo salar (Atlantic salmon)
Lineage: Eukaryota; Metazoa; Chordata; Actinopteri; Salmoniformes; Salmonidae
Source: RefSeq, a predicted model, not a curated record
UGAAAAAGUCACGAGGAAAGUGUCUUGGGCUUUUUUUGCGUGAGGUGCGCUUGUUUUGGAAUUUCAUUCGUUGGAGCUGCGGCGAAAACUCCGCCCCCGUCCAACUGCCGCACUGGAUUGGGUGCUACCGUCGUCUGUCUCCGGGACAUCAGGGGAGGCACGAGUUCGCUCUAGGAGUAAUCAGUUUCGGACUCGUAGUGGAACCAAGCGCUUGGGUCCCCGAUGCUGCACAAAUCACGGCGACCCCCGGUGGAGAUGAAGGCGGACUCCGAUUGGCUCUGAUUUUUAAAAGCCCUUUUCAUUCAGGAGGUUGCCCAUUAUCAACAUGGCUGAGCCGUCGGCCCCAGUACCCUUUGCAAAAAUGGCGUCACUUAGCCGGGUUCGAGCUCUGACGAUGAUUUUCUUAACUGUCAGCGGUUGUUUGGUCACCUCGAUAAGUGGCAAGGAAGGAGGGGUAGAGUCGGACACGGUUAUCAUCGGGCUCCGGUUGGAGGACACGGACGACAUUUCCUUUAUGGAUAGGGGCUACCUACGGGUAAGUGAACGGUCUCGUGUCAAAUUGAGGGUCUACGGGCAAAACAUAAACAACGAGACCUGGUCCAAAAUUGCAUUUACGGAACACGAGCAGAUCCGACCAGCCGGGGACAUCGACAGCUUGUCGGGGGACAACGGGAGCAAAGAGGAUACGUCCGCGCAUCCCUGCGGUAUCAGGACCUCGGAUAUAAUCAUCUUGCCCAACAUCAUUCUAAGUCGCAGAACGUCGGGAGUAGUUGAAAUCGAGGUCAAACCCCUUCGAAAAACCGAGAGGAGUAAAUCUUAUUACCUGUGCAUCGCCACCUCAACACCUGCCCACCACGCCGCCGGCCUGCACGACCCAUGGACCGAAAACACCUGGAUUUACCACGACGGAGAUGACACUAAAGUGAUAGUUGUGGAGGAGAAGAGGUUUCUGCUUCCCUUCUGGCUUCAAGUCAUCUUUAUUUCCAUGUUGCUGUGUCUGUCAGGCAUGUUCAGCGGGUUGAACUUAGGACUGAUGGCACUGGACCCAAUGGAGCUCCAAAUCGUACAGAAUUGUGGCACAGAGAUGGAGAAGAAUUAUGCCAAAAAGAUAGAGCCAGUUAGGAGCCAAGGGAAUUACCUGCUUUGCUCACUUCUCCUAGGCAACGUGCUCGUGAAUACAACUCUAACUAUCUUAUUUGAUGAUAUUGCAGGUUCUGGGCUGAUAGCUGUGGUGAUGUCAACUAUUGGAAUUGUCAUCUUUGGAGAGAUUGUCCCUCAAGCCAUAUGCUCAAGACAUGGCCUUGCCGUUGGAGCCAACACCAUUUUCCUCACCAAGUUUUUCAUGCUGCUCACCUUCCCCGCGUCAUACCCAGUGAGCAAACUUCUAGAUUACCUUUUGGGCCAAGAGAUAGGCACUGUGUACAACCGCGAGAAGCUUUUGGAGAUGCUCCGAGUCACGGAUCCGUACAAUGAUCUGGUCAAAGAGGAGUUGAACAUCAUUCAGGGCGCCUUGGAGCUACGGACUAAGACUGUGGAGGACGUGAUGACCCCGCUAAGAGAUUGUUUUAUGAUUCCAGGUGAUGCUAUCCUCGACUUCAACACCAUGUCUGAAAUCAUGGAGAGCGGCUACACGCGCAUCCCCGUGUUCGAGGGCGAGAGGUCCAACAUUGUGGAUCUAUUGUUCGUGAAGGACCUGGCGUUUGUCGACCCAGAUGAUUCUACGCCGCUGAAAACCAUCACUAAGUUUUACAGCCAUCAGCUGCAUUUUGUGUUCAAUGACACCAGGCUGGAUGCCAUGCUGGAGGAGUUCAAGAAAGGUAAAUCCCACCUGGCCAUAGUUCAGAGGGUGAACAACGAGGGUGAGGGGGACCCCUUCUACGAGGUCCUGGGCAUCGUCACCCUGGAGGACAUCAUCGAGGAAAUCAUCAAGUCAGAGAUCCUGGACGAGACAGACUUGUACACUGACAACAAAACGAAGAAGAAAAUCACCCAUCGUGAGCGGAAGCAGGAUUUCUCAGCCUUCAAGCCCAACGACAGUGAAAUGAAGGUUAAAAUAUCACCUCAGCUUCUGCUGGCAACCCUGCGUUACCUAGCAACAGAGGUGGAGUCGUUCGGGCCGGUGCAGAUGUCAGAGAAGAUCCUGCUGCGUCUGCUCAAACACCCCAACGUGAUCCAGGAGCUGAAGUACGACGAGAAGAACAAGAGAGCACCGGAGCACUACCUCUUCCACAGGAACAAGCCUGUGGACUACUUCAUACUCAUCCUGCAGGGGAAGGUGGAGGUGGAGGCAGGGAAGGAAGGGAUGAAGUUUGAAGCAGGAGCGUUCUCCUCCUAUGGGAUGAUGGCUCUCACCACCUCUCCAGACCCUCUUUCAAUGUGCUUGGAUGGCACGUUGGUUGUUUUUCAGGACACGCUGUACGACGGUAACGUUAUACAAUUAUUUCAUUUUGUGGGCUUUGGUGAUGGAUUUUUCCGUGUGUGUCUCCCCUCUCUGUCGGCCAUCUCUCUUCGCCAGUCCCUCUCUCCCUGUCUCGUACCUUCGUUGUCAGUAGGGCUGAGUCCCUAGCAGGAUCUCCAGGUAUGGUAGCCCUCUCUUUCCUGUCUGCCUGUCUGUCUGUCAACCUGUCUGUCUGUCCAUCCAUCCCCCUAUCCCUCUAUCUCCAUCUCUCCUCACAUCUAAUAUAACUCUUCCCAUUGGGAUGAGUGUACACUUCACCUAAGCCUGCUAUUUCCCGGCAUUAUAACUGCAUGGUGUGUUGUGGACAUAGUAAUGAAUUCUGGUCCUGUUGCUCAUGAGCUUAAAUUCUUUGAGAGUGGAAUUCUCUUGUGCCACAUCGCAAGAAUACUUCGCAUGUUUGUGUAUUAAUAUGCAUUUCCUACUUACGCUGUCCUUACGUUUGCUUUGCAUAUUAAACGUUGUUUUGCAUGGACGUUUAACAAGGCGGGACUUACCUAUUGUUUUGGACUCUGAAGGAUGUCUGUUACUGUGUACUGUGCAUGUGAAGCGUCCAUUCCCCUGUGUGUGUGUGUGUGUGUGUGUGUGUGUGUGUGUGUGUGUGUGUGUGUGUGUGUGUGUGUGUGUGUGUGUGUGUGUGUGUGGUAACCAGUGCCAUAACUCAGCCAGUGAAUAGUGUAGUAGAGGCCCCCAGAGUGAGGCAUAGCCGCCACUAGAGACAGGCUCCACCCCUCUAGCCCCGUAACCCUCUGACUCCAUAAACAAGGCUAUGAGUUACAGCCCCCCGCAGGGCCGCUGACUGCAGCACACACACACACACACACACACACACACACACACACACACACACACACACACACACACACACACACACACACACACACACACACACACACACACACACACAGCUCAAGCCUCUGAUCCACCCCAUAUUUACUAAAUUCCCUCCUCCUUCUUUUCCCCCUUGUCCCACUCCACCCUCUUCCACUCCAUCCCUCCAUCCCCUACCGUCCCCCGUCGGCCCCGAGAAAGUAGAGUACUAAUCUCCCAGGGUUCACAUGCCUGGGCCUUGGCCUACUGCGUGGGACCACACUGCUUUAUGCAGACAUCCAAACCCAGGAUUACAUACAUUCCAGCCAGAGUAAGAACAAGUCCCCCCCGCGGCCGUUUGGCCUGAACCACUCAGACUCCCUGAACCGGAGUGACCGCAUCGAUGCCAUCACACCCACGCUGGGGAGCAGUAACAACCAGCUGAAUGCCUUCCUACAGAUAUACAUGCCAGACUACUCUGUCAGGGCUGUGUCUGACCUGCAGUACAUCAAG